AGUUUUGUUAAUCCCUGCAUUGUAGAUAAAUAAGUUGUUUUUUUGUAUAACCAAAUUGUAGAUAAAUAAGUUACAUUGACCAAAUACAUCGGAUUAGAUUUUCAAGUAAAUUACGCUAAGAAAGAACUUUUCAUAAUACGAAAAUGAGAUAUUUAAAAUCUAAUCAAAUUACGUGUCUACCAUUAAUGAUGAGUACAAUGAAGAAAACCAAAAAAAGAAGAAGAUAGAGUACAAUGGUAGACUCGAACUUAUUAGUGACCUUUCUUCUUCUAACUUACUAUAAAACCAAGAUAAUUAUUAUAUUUUUAUUUAAUUUGGAAUCUCUAGGUGCUACAUUGAAGAUGAGAACAAUGGUAGUAGACUCAAUCUAUGGUGACCUUUCUUCUUCUACCUUCUAAUAAACCCAAAAAUUUUGUUGCAUUUAAAUCGAAAUCUAAUUUAAAUUCUUCUACCUUCUAAUAAGCACAAAGACCAAUGAACAAAUUUGUUGAAAAAACUAAGAGAAAUGUAGAUUGAUUUUACCUCUUUUUAGUUGGAACACAAUGGAUUUGGAUCUGGAAAUGGGAAUUGAUUCGUAAUGAGUCUAGCUAGAGAGAUACGCUCAUUCCCGGAUUUCUUGGAAUUCUAAAACCGAAAUUGUUUUAACUUUUCUUGUUUUUCAGAAAAAGAAAAUGGAGGAUUAAUUAAAAAUGAAAAAUUGAGGAAUUGUGAAUGGGAAAGAAGAAGGAUUUGAAGAGUAAACGACUAUAAACUAUUGGAUGAGUUUAAGAGGAAACACUUGUGCUGAGGAGAUAAGCCAAGCCACAUUAUGUUUUGUUCUUAUAUGGGCAAAGCUAUAUAUAUAGCCCACAAGUUAAAGCUGUGUUUGGC
Molecule: long non-coding RNA, 870 nt
Filed under: Arabidopsis lyrata
Lineage: Eukaryota; Viridiplantae; Streptophyta; Magnoliopsida; Brassicales; Brassicaceae
Description: long non-coding RNA (ALYR_LNC000133)
Source: RNAcentral